RNAcentral lists this long non-coding RNA (1043 nucleotides) under Macaca mulatta (Rhesus monkey). Its description in RNAcentral is "lncRNA (ENSMMUG00000053431.1)". Lineage: Eukaryota; Metazoa; Chordata; Mammalia; Primates; Cercopithecidae. The record is from RNAcentral.
GUACAUUUAUAUUUAUAUACAUACAUAUGUAUAUAUUUCUCUAUAUAUAUCAUAGCUUUUACACACAAUGUCAUAUAAAUGUAUUUGCAGGUGGCAAGAGGGCCCAAUGGUCCCUAGUAUAAGUGUAUUUGCAACUGUUUUUUGUGUGUGCUUAUUUUCUUGUUGUGUUUAUUUUAUACAUUUACAUUUAUAGAUGUAUAUAUUUUUCUCUAUAUAUUAUAGUGAUUACACACAAUUUCAUCAUGAUGUAACAUAGCUAUAUUAACUAUAUAUUUUAUAGGAAAUGGAUAUUUGUGCACAUAUAUGCAUACAUACAUAUAAACAAAGCACUAUUAGUAGGCCUCAAAAACAGUGUUGUGUGAAUACAGUGAGCAUAUUCUAAGAAGUGGAUGGCUGUCUAUAAAUAAAUGACUUAUGCAUUCUAUUUCUCUCACUCCUGCACUUACCAAGAUGAAGGGGUUUUCCCAGCUUUCACUUGAGUACACUCUUGGAAAUGAGAUUCUCUUCCUUUGAUUAUUUCAGGUUGACAAAUUUAUACCAAAAUAGUGGGUUUUUAUAAUCAAUAUCUUUAGGAUUGAUUUUCCUAAAUAUUAUUUUUUAAAAUAUUGAAUUGUAUCCCUUGUUUGUCUUUUAUUUUCCACAAGCAGAUGAAACUUCCUCACAAGCCGAUGGAAGAACCUGUGCGUGUCACUUCAGGGAAGUUACAUAGCAGGGUGGAAGUAGAAUGAACCUACACAUUUUGAAAACAUUUUUUUACUUUGGUCCUUGGAGGACCUAAGGGGCUUGUAAAGAAGAAGAAGGGGGUAGACUGUGAGUCUGCAGCUAAAAGGAGGAGAGAGAUGACCCAGCAACCUAGAGAAGCAGGAAGAAAGUGUUUAUUCUACCUUCCUCUCCUCCCCAGAAUUCUGCAGUGUCUGGAGAAGAGCAGAGUGGUCUCCAGUCCCCAGGAGAGGCCUGGGCCAGACCCUGCUGAAUGCAGAGAGUUAUCUGCAGGGACUAUUUAUUCGUUUCCUGGUGCUCUAGGACACAGCAGAGAGAGCUGA